GGUAACUUGUCCGAGUGGUUAAGGAGACUGACUCGAAUAAAUUGUGCUUUGCAAUUUGACAGUGAUAUCAGUUGGGCUUUGCCCGCGCAGGUUCAAAUCCUGCAGUUGCCG
Molecule: transfer RNA, 111 nt
Organism: Lodderomyces elongisporus NRRL YB-4239
Lineage: Eukaryota; Fungi; Ascomycota; Pichiomycetes; Serinales; Debaryomycetaceae
Rfam family: tRNA
About the family: Transfer RNA (tRNA) molecules are approximately 80 nucleotides in length. Their secondary structure includes four short double-helical elements and three loops (D, anti-codon, and T loops). Further hydrogen bonds mediate the characteristic L-shaped molecular structure. tRNAs have two regions of fundamental functional importance: the anti-codon, which is responsible for specific mRNA codon recognition, and the 3' end, to which the tRNAs corresponding amino acid is attached (by aminoacyl-tRNA synthetases). tRNAs cope with the degeneracy of the genetic code in two manners: having more than one tRNA (with a specific anti-codon) for a particular amino acid; and 'wobble' base-pairing, i.e. permitting non-standard base-pairing at the 3rd anti-codon position.
Source: Rfam